CCUGUUGCACAAAAGUAGAAUUAAGACAUCCGGGAUAAAUGACUCAGCUGAGCUCAAUGAAGCCAAAACAUGUGCGUCCAGGCUUAAUUGGUUGCACAAAGACCAAGCCAGGAUGAGCAGACACGGAUUCAUUAAGCCAGGUGAAACCAAUCCUGGAUAGGUGCGCGCUCACGGCUCACUCAAAUAGACCCCGCCACAGAUCACAGAUUAACUGAUUUACCAUGGCAACUAGAGCCGCGUACUUUUCCCCGUCGGAAGCACAAAUCCUCAUGGAGGCAUACGAGGAGGUAAAAUAUAUAAUUAAGAAGAAAGGCAACACCGCCACAGUGAUAAAGCAAAGAGAAAAAGCGUGGCAAAGUAUUGCAGACCGCCUGAAUGCGUAAGUAGUGCACAAUUACACAGUCACCGCUCCGCUGAAACAUCACAAUUACAAUUCAAAUAUUUAAUUCACAUCUCCAAAAAUGCAGUUGUACUGUAAUUAUGAAACGGUUCAAUUUUUAAUUGAAAUGCACUGCAGAUAUGAGUGAAAUUGUGUAAAGUAACUCCAUCACACUGUAUAAAGCUAUGAUACAUUUUUUGAUAUUUUUACUGAAAACAAGACAAAAAUACCGAGUAAUUUUUUGCAGUGUGACUCCAUUAAAUGUGUGUGUGUGUGUGUGUGUGUGUGUGUGUGUGUGUGUGUAGAUUAAACAUAAACGGACAUGGCAGCAGGUCAAAAUCAAAUACAAGAACAUUCUGCAGAAUGCAGUGAAAAAGAAUACCCACAGACAAGGCACGGGUGGUGGGUCACCAAAGGCUGACCUUACCCCAGCAGAGGACAUGGCCUUGGAGCUAAAUAAAGGCAGGCCCGUCUUAGAGGGGAUCCCUGGGGGGAAAGAGACGAGCAUAGGUUCCUCCCAAGAUGCCACCCGCUUCAUUCAAGUGUCUGGCAGCACUGUGUUCCUGUUAGAGCCACCAGCACAAGCACCAGACGAUGCUGAUCCAGUGAGUACUCCAUCAAAGGCAUACUGUAGGCCUGGCAUGUCUUGUCUACUAGCUUCAAUAUGAAUCCGAUUAAAUGUGAUAGGGUGAAGGCCCCAGUGCAGCAGCAACAGCACAUGAUGGAGACGAUGAUGAGGAGGAGACCAUCUCUCUGGAUUCCAGAAGGCAUGAGGUAUCAUGUUAAGACUGUGAAAGUACUAUUUACUCUACAAUGGUGAGGAGGAGUCAUCAAAAUCAAAAAAUCUAAUUUCUUUUACAGGACCCAGAUGCUAUACAGUGGGAAAACCAGCCUGGCAACAUAGUGCGUAUUAAUAAAAGGACACCACAUCCUGCCAAAUUCCAGCUGCACUAAUUGUAUUGUGUUCACAGAGCUCACAAGCUAUCAGAAAGUUGUAUGGCAACCACCUCCGGCGCCAAAUAGAACUGGCAGACAUAGACAUUCAGUACAAGAAGAAAAAGAUGGAAAAUCUUGCACUGGAGUCCGAAAUAAAAAAGAGGACAAUUAGGAAACUGGACCUUGAAAUAAAAAAACUUGAGAGGGAGGUGAGAUAUGCCUUCAAUGUACACUGUAUGCUAACUGUAACACAAAUGUAUUAAUCAUUAUUUUUCUUUCCUCCCCCAGCUCCAAGAAGAUGACACAGCUCAAAAUAAA
Salvelinus fontinalis (brook trout) is the source of this 1633-nucleotide long non-coding RNA. RefSeq lists it as uncharacterized. Lineage: Eukaryota; Metazoa; Chordata; Actinopteri; Salmoniformes; Salmonidae. The transcript has 3 exons. The record is from RefSeq and is a predicted model, not a curated record.